This 469-nucleotide ribosomal RNA is filed under the name uncultured Planctomycetales bacterium. Its description in RNAcentral is "bacterial SSU rRNA". It matches the Rfam family "Bacterial small subunit ribosomal RNA", at positions 369 to 828 of the family's 1533-position model. Lineage: Bacteria; Pseudomonadati; Planctomycetota; Planctomycetia; Planctomycetales. The record is from RNAcentral.
CAAUGCCCGAAAGGGUGACGAAGCGACGCCGCGUGGGUGAAGAAGGCCUUCGGGUUGUAAAACCCUGUCAGGAGUUAUGAAAUGUAGGUGCGCUAAUAUCGUGCUUAUUUGACAAAGGCUCCAAAGGAAGCCACGGCUAACUCUGUGCCAGCAGCCGCGGUAAUACAGAGGUGGCGAGCGUUGUUCGGAAUUAUUGGGCGUAAAGAGCACGUAGGUGGGUUUGCAAGUCAGAUGUGAAAGCCUUCUGUUCAACGGGAGAAUUGCAUCUGAAACUGCUAAUCUUGAGUAUAGGAGGGGAGAAUGGAACUUCUGGUGGAGCGGUGAAAUGCGUAGAUAUCAGAAGGAACGCCGGCGGCGAAAGCGAUUCUCUGGCCUAUUACUGACACUCAGUGUGCGAAAGCUAGGGGAGCAAACGGGAUUAGAUACCCCGGUAGUCCUAGCCGUAAACGAUGGGCACUAAGUAGAGGGG